This is a non-coding RNA of Pelobates cultripes (western spadefoot toad), 680 nucleotides long. The record is from the annotation of a GenBank genome assembly. NCBI's taxonomy places the organism in Eukaryota, Metazoa, Chordata, Amphibia, Anura, Pelobatidae.
UAAAAAAUUGCUGAAAGGGAGUGUAAUGAACAAAACAAUAAUUAAAAAUGCGAGCUUAUUGACCAAUACUAAAAACAAUUAUGAUUUAUUUGAUGCUUGGCGUCUUCAAAAUCCCGAAUUAAGAGAUUACACCCAUCUAUCUAGAGUACAUUUUACAUAUUCAAGAAUUGAUAUGAUCUGGGGUAAUAUAACUCUAAUAGAUAAUUUGGUAGAAAUAAAUAUAGUGGAAAAUGUAUGGUCAGAUCAUAGUAUGUAUAUAUUCGAAAUAAAAGAUAAGAUGACAGCUAUAAAUAAUACAACGUGGAAACUAAAUAACUAUCGGUUAUAUAACAAAAGUAGUAAGACCAAGUUAGAGAAACUGAUAAUAUGUUUCUUUAAGGAGAAUGAUCCUUCAGACACUUCAUAUCUAAAUACGUGGUGUUCAUUUAAAGCAGUUACAAGAGGUUAUCUUAUAAAGCUAAACCAUGAAGCUAAAAGUAAAGAAAAGAGACUUGGAGAUUUAUACAUUGAACUCUAUAAGCUUACAACAGACAAUAAAGCAUAUCCCACAAUGGAGAAAGGUAGACGAAUAUCAGAAGUGCAAAAAAAUAUUCUACAAUGUUUAAAUACUAAAACAAUAGAAAAUAUUAAAAAACUGAAAUUGAGAUUCUAUUGUAGAGGGAAUAAAACAGAUAAGAUGC